GGGACGAAGCUUACGUGACGGUACCUGCAGAAGAAGCGCCGGCUAACUACGUGCCAGCAGCCGCGGUAAUACGUAGGGCGCAAGCGUUGUCCGGAAUUUUUGGGCGUAAAGAGCUCGUAAGCGGUUUGUCGCGUCUGUCGUGAAAGCCCACGGCUUAACCGUGGGUCUGCGGUGGAUACGGGCAGACUAGAGGCAGGUAGGGGAGAAUGGAAUUCCCGGUGUAGCGGUGAAAUGCGCAUAUAUCGGGAGGAACACCGGUGGCGAAGGCGGUUCUCUGGGCCUGUACUGACUCUGAGGAGCGAAAGCGUGGGGAGCGAACAGGAUUAGAUACCCUGGUAGUCCACGCCGUAAACGUUGGGCGCUAGGUGUGGGGUCCUUCCACGGAUUCCGCGCCGCAGCUAACGCAUUAAGCGCCCCGCCUGGGGAGUACGGCCGCAAGGCUAAAACUCAAAGGAAUUGACGGGGGCCCGCACCAGCGGCGGAGCACGUUGCUUAAUUUGACUCACCGCGAAGAAUCUUACCUAGGCUUGACAUUGCCCGGAAAACCAGAAAAGAUGUUGGGUCCUUU
RNAcentral lists this ribosomal RNA (568 nucleotides) under Thermomonosporaceae bacterium So3Pw_1413. Its description in RNAcentral is "bacterial SSU rRNA". It matches the Rfam family "Bacterial small subunit ribosomal RNA", at positions 442 to 1019 of the family's 1533-position model. Lineage: Bacteria; Bacillati; Actinomycetota; Actinomycetes; Streptosporangiales; Thermomonosporaceae. The record is from RNAcentral.